Mytilus californianus (California mussel) is the source of this 279-nucleotide long non-coding RNA. RefSeq lists it as uncharacterized. The transcript is spliced from 3 exons. The record is from RefSeq and is a predicted model, not a curated record. NCBI's taxonomy places the organism in Eukaryota, Metazoa, Mollusca, Bivalvia, Mytilida, Mytilidae.
UCACAUUUAACAACUUACUACUUCAGGUGCUGAACGAGCGAUCAAACCAUCCAAACAGUUUCUCCACUGGUCUUCUUGUAGCUGUUGCAGUUGGAUGUUCUGUAGUUACUGCUGUCGUUAUUAUUUUUGGUCUUUAUGUUUUCCGUAAAUUGAACCCUAAUCAAACUGCAAGGCAAAAUAGAAAGGCGGGCAACAACCAACGUCCUGGUGAAUUACCCCUAACCAGCCAACUUAACGAUUAUGAACGAAGUCGACGUUCUAGUGAUACACAGAGUGGUG